This is a long non-coding RNA of Notolabrus celidotus (New Zealand spotty), 244 nucleotides long. RefSeq lists it as uncharacterized. The transcript is spliced from 2 exons. The record is from RefSeq and is a predicted model, not a curated record. NCBI's taxonomy places the organism in Eukaryota, Metazoa, Chordata, Actinopteri, Labriformes, Labridae.
UAUGUCUACCCUGCUGCAUGUUCCCUGUGUUCCUGUGCUCCAGUGAGUAUGUUCUGAAGUGGAGUGGCUGCAUGAUCUGACUAUAACCACAUGGGGAAAGAGGCAAAACUGUCCAGGCCCCAGCAGAGAACUCACGUGAAGGGCAGAUGGAAGGCUUGGAUAGCUGUCCGAUAAAAUCAACUGCUUACCUGCUGUUGAAAACUGAGAGUAGAGCGGUCAAUAACAUUCCUUUUCUGCUACACAA